CGGGGUGUGGCGCAGUUGGUUAGCGUAUCUGCUUUGGGAGCAGAGGGUCCUCCGUUCGAGUCGGAGUACCCCGA
Molecule: transfer RNA, 74 nt
Filed under: Candidatus Egerieousia excrementavium
Lineage: Bacteria; Pseudomonadati; Bacteroidota; Bacteroidia; Bacteroidales
Description: tRNA-Pro
Rfam family: tRNA
About the family: Transfer RNA (tRNA) molecules are approximately 80 nucleotides in length.
Source: RNAcentral